GACGAACGCUGGCGGCGUGCCUAAUACAUGCAAGUCGAGCGAAUCGAUGGGAGCUUGCUCCCUGAGAUUAGCGGCGGACGGGUGAGUAACACGUGGGCAACCUGCCUAUAAGACUGGGAU
RNAcentral lists this ribosomal RNA (120 nucleotides) under uncultured bacterium. RNAcentral describes it as "partial 16S ribosomal RNA". It matches the Rfam family "Bacterial small subunit ribosomal RNA", at positions 28 to 144 of the family's 1533-position model. The record is from RNAcentral.